UGGGGAAUUUUUGGACAAUGGGCGAAAGCCUGAUCCAGCAAUGCCGCGUGUGUGAAGAAGGCCUUCGGGUUGUAAAGCACUUUUGUCCGGAAAGAAAUCCUUGGCUCUAAUACAGUCGGGGGAUGACGGUACCGGAAGAAUAAGCACCGGCUAACUACGUGCCAGCAGCCGCGGUAAUACGUAGGGUGCAAGCGUUAAUCGGAAUUACUGGGCGUAAAGCGUGCGCAGGCGGUUUGCUAAGACCGAUGUGAAAUCCCCGGGCUCAACCUGGGAACUGCAUUGGUGACUGGCAGGCUAGAGUAUGGCAGAGGGGGGUAGAAUUCCACGUGUAGCAGUGAAAUGCGUAGAGAUGUGGAGGAAUACCGAUGGCGAAGGCAGCCCCCUGGGCCAAUACUGACGCUCAUGCACGAAAGCGUGGGGAGCAACAGGAUUAGAUACCCUGGUAGUCCACGCCCUAAACGAUGUCAACUAGUUGUUGGGGAUUCAUUUCCUUAGUAACGUAGCUAACGCGUGAAGUUGACCGCCUGGGGAGUACGGUCGCAAGAUUAAAAC
RNAcentral lists this ribosomal RNA (552 nucleotides) under uncultured bacterium. RNAcentral describes it as "partial 16S ribosomal RNA". It matches the Rfam family "Bacterial small subunit ribosomal RNA", at positions 355 to 900 of the family's 1533-position model. The record is from RNAcentral.